CGACCGGCGCACGGGUGAGUAACACGUAUCCAACCUACCGUCUACUCUUGGCCAGCCUUCUGAAAGGAAGAUUAAUCCAGGAUGGGAUCAUGAGUUCACAUGUCCGCAUGAUUAAAGGUAUUUUCCGGUAGACGAUGGGGAUGCGUUCCAUUAGAUAGUAGGCGGGGUAACGGCCCACCUAGUCAACGAUGGAUAGGGGUUCUGAGAGGAAGGUCCCCCACAUUGGAACUGAGACACGGUCCAA
RNAcentral lists this ribosomal RNA (244 nucleotides) under uncultured bacterium. Its description in RNAcentral is "partial 16S ribosomal RNA". It matches the Rfam family "Bacterial small subunit ribosomal RNA", at positions 92 to 334 of the family's 1533-position model. The record is from RNAcentral.